Molecule: ribosomal RNA, 492 nt
Filed under: uncultured bacterium
Lineage: Bacteria
Description: partial 16S ribosomal RNA
Rfam family: Bacterial small subunit ribosomal RNA
Source: RNAcentral
AGUGAACGCUGGCGGUAGGCCUAACACAUGCAAGUCGAACGGCAGCACAGUAAGAGCUUGCUCUUACGGGUGGCGAGUGGCGGACGUGUGAGGAAUACAUCGGAAUCUACUUUUUCGUGGGGGAUAACGUAGGGAAACUUACGCUAAUACCGCAUACGACCUACGGGUGAAAGCAGGGGAUCUUCGGACCUUGCGCGAUUGAAUGAGCCGAUGUCGGAUUAGCUAGUUGGCGGGGUAAAGGCCCACCAAGGCGACGAUCCGUAGCUGGUCUGAGAGGAUGAUCAGCCACACUGGAACUGAGACACGGUCCAGACUCCUACGGGAGGCAGCAGUGGGGAAUAUUGGACAAUGGGCGCAAGCCUGAUCCAGCCAUACCGCGUGGGUGAAGAAGGCCUUCGGGUUGUAAAGCCCUUUUGUUGGGAAAGAAAAGCAGCAGGCUAAUACCCCGCUGUUCUGACGGUACCCAAAGAAUAAGCACCGGCUAACUUCGUG